RNAcentral lists this ribosomal RNA (376 nucleotides) under uncultured archaeon. RNAcentral describes it as "bacterial SSU rRNA". It matches the Rfam family "Archaeal small subunit ribosomal RNA", at positions 347 to 727 of the family's 1478-position model. The record is from RNAcentral.
ACUUUACCAUGCGGGCAACCGUGAUAAGGAAACCCCGAGUGCCAGCACAGGCUGGCUGUCCGCCAGUUUAAAUAACUGGUGAGGAAAGGGCCGGGCAAGACCGGUGCCAGCCGCCGCGGUAAUACCGGCGGCUCGAGUGGUGGCCGCUAUUACUGGGCUUAAAGGGUCCGUAGCUUGAUAACUGGGUCCCUUGAGAAAUCCGCCAGCUCAACUGGCGGGCGUUCAGGGGAAACUUGUUUUCUUGGGACCGGGAGAGGUGAGGGGUACUGCCGGGGUAGGAGUGAAAUCCUGUAAUCCCGGUGGGACCACCUAUGGCGAAGGCAUCUCACCAGAACGGGUCCGACAGUGAGGGACGAAAGCUGGGGGAGCAAACCGG